Small nuclear RNA from Octodon degus (degu), 127 nucleotides. Lineage: Eukaryota; Metazoa; Chordata; Mammalia; Rodentia; Octodontidae. The record is from Ensembl.
GUGUUAUAUGAAAGGAGAGAAGUUUAGCACUCCCCUCGACAAGGAUGGAAGAGGCGCUCGGGCCUGACAACACGCAUACAGUUAAGGCAUUGCCACAUACUUCAUGGCAUAAAAACCAACAAGAAAA